GCGGCAAAAGCUCAAAUUUGAAAUCUGGCGUCUUUGGCGUCCGAGUUGUAAUUUGAAGAAGGUAUCUUUGGGCCCGGCUCUUGUCUAUGUUCCUUGGAACAGGACGUCACAGAGGGUGAGAAUCCCGUGCGAUGAGAUGACCCGGGUCUGUGUAAAGUUCCUUCGACGAGUCGAGUUGUUUGGGAAUGCAGCUCUAAGUGGGUGGUAAAUUCCAUCUAAAGCUAAAUAUUGGCGAGAGACCGAUAGCGAACAAGUACAGUGAUGGAAAGAUGAAAAGAACUUUGAAAAGAGAGUGAAAAAGUACGUGAAAUUGUUGAAAGGGAAGGGCUUGAGAUCAGACUUGGUAUUUUGCAUGUUGCUCUCUCGGGGGCGGCCGCUGCGGUUUACCGGGCCAGCAUCGGUUUGGAGCGGCAGGAUAAUGGCGGAGGAAUGUGGCACGGCUUCUGCUGUGUGUUAUAGCCUCUGACGAUACUGCCAGCCUAGACCGAGGACUGCGGUUUUUACCUAGGAUGUUGGCAUAAUGAUCUUAAGUCGCCCGUCUU
This 542-nucleotide ribosomal RNA is filed under the name Candida albicans. Its description in RNAcentral is "LSU rRNA". It matches the Rfam family "Eukaryotic large subunit ribosomal RNA", at positions 98 to 655 of the family's 3401-position model. The record is from RNAcentral. Lineage: Eukaryota; Fungi; Ascomycota; Pichiomycetes; Serinales; Debaryomycetaceae.